Molecule: long non-coding RNA, 681 nt
Organism: Spinacia oleracea (spinach)
Lineage: Eukaryota; Viridiplantae; Streptophyta; Magnoliopsida; Caryophyllales; Amaranthaceae
Exons: 2
Source: RefSeq, a predicted model, not a curated record
GAUUAGUUCAAAAAAUUGGCUUCUUUAUUUACAAAGAAUGUCUAGUUCUUCGAAACUUCUUCAAAAUUCGUCUACCGGUUCCGGGGAAAAUACCAGGAAUCUAGUUUGCUAUUGCAACGCACUUGCCGUUAUUCGGACCGCUAAAAAUGGGUCAAUGCUGGCAAGCAAUUUUUUGGGUGUCCAAAUUGGCCUGGUACUAGUGCAUGUAAAUUUUUCGAGUGGGUAAUGAAAGGAGGUUGCAUUAAAAAAAUACCAAUGUAUAAUGAUCUUGAAGUUAGAAUUCUAGAGAAAGAUGUUGAGAUAGCUGAGUUGGAGAUGAAGAAACGUUAUUUGGAGGAAAAAAUUAAAAAACAACAUAUGAAGAAAGAAAGUGCAGAAGAAGAGUUGCAAGAGAUAAAGAACGAGCUUUGUCAUACGAGAAUCGAAUUAAUGAAUUGUGCCCGUUCUGAGAAAAAUCUGUCCACGGUGUUGGUGAUAUCGUGGAUUAUGUUUGGUGUCCUAGCCUUGUUGUUGAGGUAGUGUGUUAGCCUUAUGGGAUAGUUGGUCUAAAUCCAUAGUUGAAUCAUGUACCGUUUCACUGUUGUAUGGUGGAUAUUAAGUAUUUUAAGUAUUUUAAGUAUCACGGUUGUAUUGUUGUAUGGUUAAUUCUAAGUAUGUUAUUAGGAUUGCUUUUGGUAACAA